UUAAAUAGCUUAAAUAAAGCAUAGCACUGAAAAUGCUAAGAUGGAUCCUAAAAAAUCCUUUAAACACA
RNAcentral lists this transfer RNA (68 nucleotides) under Duttaphrynus melanostictus (Asian common toad). RNAcentral's name for it is "tRNA-Phe". It matches the Rfam family "tRNA". Rfam says of the family: Transfer RNA (tRNA) molecules are approximately 80 nucleotides in length. Their secondary structure includes four short double-helical elements and three loops (D, anti-codon, and T loops). Further hydrogen bonds mediate the characteristic L-shaped molecular structure. tRNAs have two regions of fundamental functional importance: the anti-codon, which is responsible for specific mRNA codon recognition, and the 3' end, to which the tRNAs corresponding amino acid is attached (by aminoacyl-tRNA synthetases). tRNAs cope with the degeneracy of the genetic code in two manners: having more than one tRNA (with a specific anti-codon) for a particular amino acid; and 'wobble' base-pairing, i.e. permitting non-standard base-pairing at the 3rd anti-codon position. The record is from RNAcentral. Lineage: Eukaryota; Metazoa; Chordata; Amphibia; Anura; Bufonidae.